GAUGAAGAACGCAGCGAAAUGCGAUACGUAAUGUGAAUUGCAGAAUUCAGUGAAUCAUCGAAUCUUUGAACGCACAUUGCGCCCGCCAGCACUCUGGCGGGCAUGCCUGUUCGAGCGUCAUUUCAACCCUCAGAACCCCUUUGGGGGAUCUGGCGUUGGGGAUCGGCAGUCCUGCCGGCCCCGAAAUAUAGUGGCGGUCUCUCUGUGACCUUCCCUGUGUAGUAGCGAUACCUCGCAGCGGGAUAGCAGUUUGGCCACGCCGUAAAACACCCAACUUCUCAAGGUUGACCUCGAAUCAGGUAGGAAUACCCGCUGAACUUAAGCAUAUCAAUAAGCGAGGA
RNAcentral lists this unclassified non-coding RNA (341 nucleotides) under soil metagenome. RNAcentral describes it as "partial contains 5.8S ribosomal RNA, internal transcribed spacer 2, and large subunit ribosomal RNA". The stretch from base 1 to 120 matches the Rfam family "5.8S ribosomal RNA", at positions 35 to 154 of the family's 154-position model. The record is from RNAcentral.